This is an RNA transcript of Mya arenaria, 814 nucleotides long. RefSeq lists it as uncharacterized. The record is from RefSeq and is a predicted model, not a curated record. NCBI's taxonomy places the organism in Eukaryota, Metazoa, Mollusca, Bivalvia, Myida, Myidae. The transcript has 3 exons.
UGUAACAACAAGGAAAUGGAUUGUGUUAAAUUAAAUGUGCUUGUUUAAGAGAAAAUAUUUAUUGUAACCUCAAACAAUGUUCGUUUUAUGAAUAAUUAGAUGUGUCCUUUUACAUGAAGCUCUCUGUUUCCUCUAGAAAAAUCAUGAGCACACAGAAAAUGUACUUGACAGUAAUUGAAAUGAUCAUACGGUUCAUGGCAUGCAUGAAUCAUUACAUCGGAUUAAAUGCAUGCAUGGACUAAAUGUCAGCAUUUUCUCAACAGCCAUACGAUUACCCUAUGAAAUCUGAAGAACAUGAUACUGACAACACUUCAAAAACCAAAUGCAGAAUGUCAGAUAAGGCUCAUAAAUAUUUCAUCUGUUGCAUUAGGAAUGGGGGCAGACUUGAAAAACGUUAAAAGGAUAAUAGAUGCAGGACCACCAACUAGUUUAGAAACAUAUAUUCAAGAGAUUGGUUGUGCUGGACGAACAGGGUCUGUGGCAGAAGCAGUUCUCUACUUCAAUAAUUCUGACAUAUCAGGUCAAUGUAUGAAAAAGGAUAUGCAAGAUUACUGUAGAAACAAUGAAAAGUGUCGCAGGGAUAUCAUCAAUGAACAUUUUGGCUUCCAAACCAAGGAAAAACCAACAAUCUGCUGCAAUUUUUGUGACUCUCAACUGUGUAUUGAAUGGGAUUUUUCUAAUUUAGCAAUAAAUAAGUGAAAAAUCUCAAUUAGGUUCUUCAGCAAAGGAACAGAUUUUGAUGCACAAAUAAAAGUUUAACAAAGUGUUCUUGUUAAAGAUUUUUUUUUAAAUUACUGAAACAUCACUUUCUAAG